This 118-nucleotide ribosomal RNA is filed under the name Chinchilla lanigera (long-tailed chinchilla). Lineage: Eukaryota; Metazoa; Chordata; Mammalia; Rodentia; Chinchillidae. The record is from RNAcentral.
UGUGAAGCCACUCCACCCUGAAUGCACCUGUUCUCAGAAGCUAAGCCGAGUUGGUCAUGGUUAGUGCUUGGAUGGGACAGAGGCUUAGCACUGGGAAUUAUCCUGGAGACUAUCAUAU